Sardina pilchardus (European sardine) is the source of this 868-nucleotide long non-coding RNA. RefSeq lists it as uncharacterized. The record is from RefSeq and is a predicted model, not a curated record. NCBI's taxonomy places the organism in Eukaryota, Metazoa, Chordata, Actinopteri, Clupeiformes, Clupeidae. The transcript is spliced from 3 exons.
UAGUGCUACUGUAACUUUAAAUGUCUGUCCAUUAACAGAUACCCCGGCUGAGCAACCGAAGAGCUCCGUUCACGUCGCAUAAAAAUGUAUGAGGUUUUAGUUAAGUUUAGUUUAGUUUAGUUUUGUGUAGCCAGUUUACAUUAUUACAGUGGUGGCAGCAGACAGGCACUAGCUAGCAGCUAGCAGCUACGCCAACGGAUUUGAACGGAACACUUCAGUUAUGUGACCGUGCCGGUGUAGCCUCGCCAUGAGCCUGUGAAGCUCAUUUCACUCGCGCCAUUAUCUAACUGCUGGGUGACAACAUUCACUAAACCCAAGCGACUGGAAAAGUCAUGAAUUGAGAGUGAUGGGAAGAAUAAUGCACCUAGAAGCAGUAGAGUCUGGGCCUGAAGCCUGAUUGUCUCCCACAAAGAGCACAUGGUCCAGUCUUGAAUAUCAACAGUCAGCAUCCACAGAGCAACGUGCCAAUACCAGUGGGCCAGGAUUGAAGACAAGUCUACAAUGGACGUUGUAAGCUCUGUGCCUGUAUUACAAGCCAAAUCAACAUAGCAAACUUUGUCAUUGUUUCUGUUUCUGUUACUGUAAACACUCAUUUAUUCACAGGGUGGGUCAAACCUUUUCACAAUUGAUAGUCAACUUAUGAAAUGUACAGUGGUGUUAAGUAAAGAUGGUUAACUAUUUAAAUAUCUCAUAUACAGUAACAUGAAGAUUUAGUACAUAAUUGCUAAAUAAUAAGACAAUAUCUGAUUGGGGGAUGAUAUGGGCAUAUGAACAUGUCUGUUUUCUUUUUUUUUGUGUUCAAUUGACUUAAUGUAAAAGUAUUUUUCAGCUUAUGUGUGUAAUUUGUAAUGGUAAAGAAUAAUAAAAC